GACGAACGCUGGCGGCGUGCCUAAUACGUGCAAGUAGAACGCUGAAGGAGGGGCUUGCUUCUCUGCAUGAGUUGCGAACGGGUGAGUAACGCGUAGGUAACCUGCCUGGUAGCGGGGGAUAACUAUUGGAAACGAUAGCUAAUACCGCAUAAUAGUAGAUGUUGCAUGACAUUUGCUUAAAAGGUGCAAUUGCAUCACUACCAGCUGGACCUGCGUUGUAUUAGCUAGUUGGUGGGGUAACGGCUCACCAAGGCGACGAUCCAUAGCCGACCUGAGAGGGUGAUAGGCCGCACUGGGACUGAGACACGGCCAAGACUCCUGCGGGAGGGAGCAGUAGGAAUCGUCAGCAAUGGACGGAAGACAGAGCGAGAAACGCCGAGGGAGUGAAGAGGGUUGUCGGAUCGUAGAGCUCUGUUGUAAGAGAAGAACGAGUGUGAGAGUGGAAAGUUCACACUGUGACGGUAUCUUAUCAGAAAGGGACGGCUAACUACGUG
Molecule: ribosomal RNA, 494 nt
Filed under: uncultured bacterium
Lineage: Bacteria
Description: partial 16S ribosomal RNA
Rfam family: Bacterial small subunit ribosomal RNA
Source: RNAcentral